This is a long non-coding RNA of Marmota monax (woodchuck), 3538 nucleotides long. RefSeq lists it as uncharacterized. The record is from RefSeq and is a predicted model, not a curated record. The transcript has 3 exons. Lineage: Eukaryota; Metazoa; Chordata; Mammalia; Rodentia; Sciuridae.
ACAACUACAUAUGCAUUACAGCAGGAACUGGCAGGCCUCUGGGCUACAGCAACUAUAGGGCUUGUGCUUCCCGACUGCCAGGCUAUAAUCUAUGAAACUGAGCCCAGAUCCAGCCAAUCAGUUCACUCCUCAUAACAAGUCUAACUGGCUCUGGAAAGCUGAAAGGGCUGCACUGGAGCAACGUAGAUGAGAUAUUCCACACAAUGAUCUGCUUAUCUAGAAUCACUUUGCCUGGAAAGACCAGAGAAAAAUCACUUUGUCUAAGGAAAGGACAGGUGAUCUGGCAAAACCACCACGGGACCUGGAGCAAGAUCCUCUGGCUUGGCAGUUCAGCGCUGCCGGCAUUAAAGGACCUGAGGCUCCCCAGAAACCAGAGGGCAACCACCACAGCAGCAAAACACCAAGGACUGGCGUGAAGAUUAUGAGCAAAUGCAUGCCUACAACUGAGCCCAUUACAUGCCCUGUCUUCUAGAUGGAGAAUGAAGAGCUCCCAAUGGAAGAAAGCAUAUCCAUGUACAUUUUUCUCCAUUGUGAGACGUCAAGCCGAGUGCUCUGUAUGUAAUACAGCCAUGGGUGUUUGCACAUUGUAAGCCAGUGUCAUAUUUGUCUUGUGCUUUUCAUCAUACAUUUGAUUUAGCAGGCAAAUUUUCAAGGCUCAGCGCUGAUGGAUGUACCCUGGAGCCAACUUCAAAGCCAGACCUUAGAUUUAUGGAAAUAAAUAAGCAUAGUACUUCAAUUACAAGUUCCUACUUUGAAUUCCAAUGUGCACAUAAAAAUGUUCAUCCUAAAAAUCCUGCCCUUGAUUUUUGACCCAGGAAGUCUCUUGAUUUUGCUCUUAGCACCAUUCUCAUCUCACCGUGCCAUUUUAACUCAGUCUGCUUUCACAAAUACAGUAUAAAAAUUGAGUUCCACCAUGUCCUAUAAUAUAUGUCUCUUUUUGCUAAUUGGCAAGCGAUUUUUGCAAAUUGGUGAGAGAUUUUUAAAAAGUCACCCUGACUAACUCUGGCCAAGCUGGGUAGCAGCUGGAAAGCCCACAGAGCCAACCCAAUUUGCAUCAUCUUAUCAAAGCUUUCAAAGUUUGGAUGCCAGUCAGCUGGUACCAUAGUGAAUUAGAGCAGUUCCCUACUUUGCCUAUAGUCUGAGACCCCAUGGCAAGUUCUCAAAGGGGACUGAACAGGGGCAGGUAAACAAGUAGUCAGCUGUACAAGAGCCUGCUACUGCAAAGCAUACAGAAAAUGACAGAGAUGCAGACCUGAAAGAACCAGAACAUGUAUCCACACACAUGCAUGUGUAUACACAUACAUACACACAAACAUGAAGUCACACGUGCACAUAUGUGCAUGUAUACUCCUGUACACACAUGACACAGUGGGAAAAUAGUUGUGACAUACUAAAGGGAAUGAAAAUUUCAAAAUUACUGUAAAUAUACUUUCAAGACUCCAAGGUUUGGAAGAGGGUAUUCCACAAGUGAUUCCUCUACCUUAAACAAUUAGGACAAAAAAAAACAAGGGGCAGGGGUGGUGAAUCCCUGAAAAUACAGAGCAUACCACCAGCAGAGAAUAAAAGACACUAAUGCUGCCAAAGAUUAGUACACAGAAUUCAGAUUUAAUAGUAAAAAACAGAGGGGGGUGGGGAACAAAAGAGAAAAAAGAGACCAAAAAGGAGAAGAAAAGAGAAGCCAAAGUUUCAAAGAGAGCUAAGUACAAAGGUUUAAGCUGAAAUGACACUGCAGGAAUAAAGGAGGCUUGUAACUGAAUUACUAUGAAAUAACGUUGGGCCCAAAAUGAGUGAUGGAACAUUUUUAAAUGUAGGAACUAAAAAAUCAGGAUGAGACAUUCUUUAAGUAAAUUAUAAUUCAAAUGGGAUAAAAAUACAGUUUAACAUUAGGUAAAUCAUAAUUCAAAUAGGACAAUAUAGUUUAACAUUUGGGGGAUUUAUAAAAAUAUGCAGUCGAUUUGACAAUUUUGAAAAAUACAACAAUAAAAAAGAAUAAGGAAGGAAGAGAAACAUCCUAUUAAUGAAAGAGAAUCUCUGUUAUCAUACAUUCUUCUGGUCACAUCUAUGCAAAUUGUGAUUACACUGUCUAUGCUGUGACUUUGUCAGCAUCACAACUUGUCAUAAUUUUUCAUGAUGUUAAAUGAUCUCUAAAACUAUAAUUUUUAGACAGUUUGAUGCCUAAUUUUUAUAUUAUGAACAAAAGUGCAUGAAUACCUUCAUACAUAAUUUUUAAUUACUUUCUUUUUCUAAUUACAUAGUAAUUGCUUCCUUAGAAUAUACUCUUUUUUUAUAUUUGAGAAGAAAAUAAAGGGUAAAAGCUGGUCCUCUGGAUUCAUUAAAGCUUUUCUUUAUAUUCUUUUUAGUUACAUACAAUACCAGGAUACACCCUGACAUCAUCACAAAAGCAUGGAACACAAUCCACUCCAAUUCAGUCCCCAGCACUUCCCCGCUGCCCCCUAGUCCCCUCCCUCCACUCCACCCAUCCUUCUUCUAUGCACUUGAAGGAUUCGAAAGUGCAAAAUAACUUUUUAAAAAUUUUGUACCAUUUUUUUGCCACUUACAAUAUAUAAAAUUUUGUUUCACCACACACUAGGCACCAUGAGCAUUUAGGAGAAAAAAAAGUCUUUUGUUUGAUUAGUGGGGGUCAGAGGCACCUUUAAUCUAAAUCCAAUUUGCUAUUCAAUACAUACAUUCAACUCCUGAAUAUGCACAGAAGUUCUUAUACUUUUUAUAACAAUGAACUGCUUUGAGAGUAAUGUGAAACCUUUGAGAGUAAUGUGAACUUCUUUCUGUAAACAUGUUCACAUACAGUGAGAGAAAUUCCCUGGAGCUCCAUCAUAGAACAAUCUCUAACUGACUUCCAAACAUCCGACCCAGGUGGGACAUCUGAGCCAUUUAUAAUCUGGGAUGUCAAUAAUUAGUUCAAGCACAUAGAAACAUGCAUGGUUUGGUGGGAAAGGAUUCAGCUUGAGCCAUGAGGCUUGCUUUCCAGCUUUAGCUGGAAACAUGUUUAGAUCCUUGUCACAGGCUGGGCCUCUAGGUUCCCUUCCAUCUGCAAAUCCCUGGAGUUCCAAGAUAAUGUCACCCUUCCUUGGCAUGUUGUAGACGUCUGUUCUAUGGAAAGUUCAUGGUUAUUUUCUCUUUCUAGGUUCCUUGUUUUCAGGAGUAGAUGGGACUAUCUUCAACUCUAUUUGAUAUUUUCUCCAGAAUACCCAUUAAUGUCAAUACCAUUGACUGCAUACAUCUCUUGUCUUCCAUGACAAAUUGGGAACUUCUUGGGGGCAUAAAGUGUGUCUAACUCAACUGUGCCUAAUUUAUUCAACAUAUUCACCAGUAAAUAUCUAUUACAAUGAACUGAGAAAAUUCUAAACAAAAUAGAAAUAUGUUUAGGAUUUUGUUCCAAACAAAAGAGAAUAGUGUCUACAAUAUCAAAUAAAAGGAGUUCAGUUUUGCUUGGAUUGAUUAUAAUUCUUCGAAGUGUCUAAACAUGCAUAUGUAUUGACCAUCUUUUCAGCUUAAAUAAAAAUGUUUACUCAGUUGA